GACGAACGCUGGCGGCGCGCCUAACACAUGCAAGUCGAACGGAGCUAUGUUGAAAGCUUGCUGGAUAUAUAGCUUAGUGGCGGACGGGUGAGUAACACGUGAGCAACCUGCCUUUCAGAGUGGAAUAACGUUUGGAAACGAACGCUAAUACCGCAUAACGUCAGAGGACGGCAUCGUUCUUUGACCAAAGAUUUAUCGCUGAAAGAUGGGCUCGCGGCCGAUUAGGUAGUUGGUGAGAUAAUAGCCCACCAAGCCGACGAUCGGUAGCCGGACUGAGAGGUUGAACGGCCACAUUGGGACUGAGACACGGCCCAGACUCCUACGGGAGGCAGCAGUGGGGGAUAUUGCACAAUGGGGGAAACCCUGAUGCAGCGACGCCGCGUGAGGGAAGACGGCCUUCGGGUUGUAAACCUCUGUCUUCGGGGACGAAUAAAUGACGGUACCCGAGGAGGAAGCCACGGCUAACUACGUGCCAGCAGCCGCGGUAAUACGUAGGUGGCAAGCGUUGUCCGGAAUUACUGGGUGUAAAGGGAGCGUAGGCGGGGAGGCAAGUUGAAUGUCUAAACUAUCGGCUCAACUGAUAGUCGGCGUUCAAAACUGCCACUCUUGAGUGCAGUAGAGGUAGGCGGAAUUCCUAGUGUAGCGGUGAAAUGCGUAGAUAUUAGGAGGAACACCAGUGGCGAAGGCGGCCUACUGGGCUGUAACUGACGCUGAGGCUCGAAAGCGUGGGUAGCAAACAGGAUUAGAUACCCUGGUAGUCCACGCCGUAAACGAUGAUUACUAGGUGUGGGGGGACUGACCCCUUCCGUGCCGGAGUUAACACAAUAAGUAAUCCACCUGGGGAGUACGGCCGCAAGGCUGAAACUCAAAGGAAUUGACGGGGGCCCGCACAAGCAGUGGAGUAUGUGGUUUAAUUCGAAGCAACGCGAAGAACCUUACCAGGUCUUGACAUCGAGUGACGAACUUAGAGAUAAGUUCUUCCUUCGGGACACGAAGACAGGUGGUGCAUGGUUGUCGUCAGCUCGUGUCGUGAGAUGUUGGGUUAAGUCCCGCAACGAGCGCAACCCUUAUCAUUAGUUGCUACGCAAGAGCACUCUAAUGAGACUGCCGUUGAUAAAACGGAGGAAGGUGGGGAUGACGUCAAAUCAUCAUGCCCCUUAUGACCUGGGCUACACACGUACUACAAUGGUGAUCAACAGAGGGAAGCAACACAGCGAUGUGAAGCAGAACCCGAAAAAUCAUCUCAGUUCAGAUUGCAGGCUGCAACUCGCCUGCAUGAAGUCGGAAUUGCUAGUAAUCGCGGAUCAGCAUGCCGCGGUGAAUACGUUCCCGGGCCU
Molecule: ribosomal RNA, 1337 nt
Filed under: uncultured bacterium
Lineage: Bacteria
Description: bacterial SSU rRNA
Rfam family: Bacterial small subunit ribosomal RNA
Source: RNAcentral